This is a long non-coding RNA of Bactrocera tryoni, 748 nucleotides long. RefSeq lists it as uncharacterized. The transcript is spliced from 3 exons. The record is from RefSeq and is a predicted model, not a curated record. NCBI's taxonomy places the organism in Eukaryota, Metazoa, Arthropoda, Insecta, Diptera, Tephritidae.
GUGCUCGUGGAAGGUGCACGUCGCAUUGCUAGAAUCAGCAAAGGAGCUGGUGUAGAACGCUAGUCCCAAACCAAUGAGCUUUGUGCUUGAGGGUGGAAGCAACUUUUUGAGGAGCAAACACUACGGUGAACACAUUCGGAUGUUGCACAAGCUAUUGUCAAUUGCGCUAAGGAUCCCGAUACUGCUGGUCAGGUUUAUCAAGCUGUUGGAUCAAAGCGUUACCAGUUGAGCGAAUUAAUUGAAACCAGUCAAUCGUGUUAUGCGCAAAAAUUAAAAAUGCGUUGUAUCCUACCUUCCUAUUGAAAGCCAAGUCGUUUGGUUGUACAAUUGACCUCCAUGGAAGAGCAAGUACCAUGGAAAUUGCGACCUUAUCGUGUUGCGCAAUAUUAUGAUGCCGAAUUGGGAGAGUGGGAGGAACCAGCUCCACCAAAAUCGAUAGAAGAACUACGUAUGUUUACAUAAAACUACUAUAAUGGCAACAACCAAGCAAAUAUUAAACAACACUCAUCAAAUGAAAGUUGGUGGCGUUGGUGGCCAAGCAGCGAUUUAAAAAGAAAUAUUUGCAUCUACGCGAAUUACAAUUCGUCUUUACAUCUAGUGAAUUAUGAAUAUGAAAGUAUAUAACUUAUCGCAGUUAUUUGUUUUUACUAUUGCAUUUAGUUUUACUUUGUGAACAGCAAAGCUGGCGGAACCUUUUUCUACCGAUUUUAUAAUUAUAACCACAAAUAAAAAGUAAAUUGUAACUAAA